Molecule: non-coding RNA, 77 nt
Organism: Perognathus longimembris pacificus (Pacific pocket mouse)
Lineage: Eukaryota; Metazoa; Chordata; Mammalia; Rodentia; Heteromyidae
Product: small Cajal body-specific RNA 18
Exons: 1
Source: RefSeq, a predicted model, not a curated record
UUGCCAAUGAGGACAUGACAACUGUGCCAUCUGAAUUCUGGGAAACGGGUGAUGGAUGUGUUCACAGAUGAAGGGUG